GACGAACGCUGGCGGCGUGCUUAACACAUGCAAGUCGAACGGAAAGGCCCUGCUUUUGUGGGGUGCUCGAGUGGCGAACGGGUGAGUAACACAUGAGUAACCUGCCCUUGACUUUGGGAUAACUUCAGGAAACUGGGGCUAAUACCGGAUAGGGGCUCCUGCUGCAUGGUGGGGGUUGGAAAGUUUCGGCGGUUGGGGAUGGACUCGCGGCUUAUCAGCUUGUUGGUGGGGUAGUGGCUUACCAAGGCUUUGACGGGUAGCCGGCCUGAGAGGGUGACCGGCCACAUUGGGACUGAGAUACGGCCCAGACUCCUACGGGAGGCAGCAGUGGGGAAUAUUGCACAAUGGGCGGAAGCCUGAUGCAGCAACGCCGCGUGCGGGAUGACGGCCUUCGGGUUGUAAACCGCUUUCGCCUGUGACGAAGCGUGAGUGACGGUAAUGGGUAAAGAAGCACCGGCUAACUACGUG
This 468-nucleotide ribosomal RNA is filed under the name uncultured bacterium. RNAcentral's name for it is "partial 16S ribosomal RNA". It matches the Rfam family "Bacterial small subunit ribosomal RNA", at positions 28 to 507 of the family's 1533-position model. The record is from RNAcentral.